CUUUUUGUGACUUAGUGGCGGACGGGUGAGUAACGCGUGGGUAACCUGCCUCACACAGGGGGAUAACAGUUGGAAACGACCGCUAAUACCGCAUAACCCGCUAGGGCCGCAUGGCCCGGACGGAAAAGAUUUAUCGGUGUGAGAUGGACCCGCGUUGGAUUAGCUAGUUGGCAGGGUAACGGCCUACCAAGGCGACGAUCCAUAGCCGGCCUGAGAGGGUGAACGGCCACAUUGGGACUGAGACACGGCCCAA
Molecule: ribosomal RNA, 253 nt
Filed under: uncultured bacterium
Lineage: Bacteria
Description: partial 16S ribosomal RNA
Rfam family: Bacterial small subunit ribosomal RNA
Source: RNAcentral